This 469-nucleotide ribosomal RNA is filed under the name actinobacterium B3_3_cr. RNAcentral describes it as "bacterial SSU rRNA". It matches the Rfam family "Bacterial small subunit ribosomal RNA", at positions 18 to 500 of the family's 1533-position model. Lineage: Bacteria; Bacillati; Actinomycetota; Actinomycetes. The record is from RNAcentral.
CCUGGCUCAGGACGAACGCUGGCGGCGUGCUUAACACAUGCAAGUCGAACGAUGAAGCCCAGCUUGCUGGGUGGAAGAGUGGCGAACGGGUGAGUAACACGUGAGUAACCUGCCCUGAACUCUGGGAUAAGCACUGGAAACGGUGUCUAAUACUGGAUACGACCUAUCACCGCAUGGUGUGUGGGUGGAAAGAUUUAUCGGUUUUGGAUGGACUCGCGGCCUAUCAGCUAGAUGGUGAGGUAAUGGCUCACCAUGGCGACGACGGGUAGCCGGCCUGAGAGGGUGACCGGCCACACUGGGACUGAGACACGGCCCAGACUCCUACGGGAGGCAGCAGUGGGGAAUAUUGCACAAUGGGCGCAAGCCUGAUGCAGCAACGCCGCGUGAGGGAUGACGGCCUUCGGGUUGUAAACCUCUUUUAGUAGGGAAGAAGCGAAAGUGACGGUACCUGCAGAAAAAGCACCGCUAA